Molecule: ribosomal RNA, 460 nt
Filed under: uncultured bacterium
Lineage: Bacteria
Description: partial 16S ribosomal RNA
Rfam family: Bacterial small subunit ribosomal RNA
Source: RNAcentral
CCUACGGGAGGCAGCAGUGAGGAAUAUUGGUCAAUGGACGAGAGUCUGAACCAGCCAAGUAGCGUGAAGGAUGACUGCUCUAUGGGUUGUAAACUUCUUUUAUAAAGGAAUAAAACGAGGCACGUGUGCCUUUUUGCAUGUACUUUAUGUAUAAGGAUCGGCUAACUCCGUGCCAGCAGCCGCGGUAAUACGGAGGAUCCGAGCGUUAUCCGGAUUUAUUGGGUUUAAAGGGAGCGUAGAUGGGUUGUUAAGUCAGUUGUGAAAGUUUGCGGCUCAACCGUAAAAUUGCAUUUGAUACUGGCAGUCUUGAGUGCAGUUGAGGUAGGCGGAAUUCGUGGUGUAGCGGUGAAAUGCUUAGAUAUCACGAAGAACCCCGAUUGCGAAGGCAGCUUACUAAACUGUGACUGACAUUGAUGCUCGAAAGUGUGGGUAGCAAACAGGAUUAGAUACCCGUGUAGUC